Molecule: unclassified non-coding RNA, 680 nt
Filed under: Hevea brasiliensis (rubber tree)
Lineage: Eukaryota; Viridiplantae; Streptophyta; Magnoliopsida; Malpighiales; Euphorbiaceae
Source: RNAcentral
CGCAGUUAAAAGGAUUUGGUUUAAUCUUGUGCAACGAAUAAUGGGUUGCCGGUCUGAUGUAUUGCGGUGGUGUGAAGCGAAUGCGUAUUGUGUUACCUUUCUAGUUGGGUCGAAUGUAGAUGAUGCUGGAUUGUUUGAUGAAACAUUUCUGGGAAUUCCGUUGAUAGAUAGGUAGUGGUUGUUUAGUGUGAUGAUAGAUAAUGUUGUAGAUUCAAGCUAGUUCUACUGCAGUUAGGUUUGUUCCGGUGGUAGGAGAAUGAACUGCUAGGAAUUUCAUGGGGCUGAGUAAUUAGAUAUUGAAUUGCUGAAAGACGAGAUAGAAUUUAGGUAGUGUAGUAGAUCAGAUAUUGACAAGGAGAUUGUGGAGGUAACAAAUUUCCGUUAGACAUGGGGUUGCCUCAAGUGCCCUCCAGCAAUAUUGCUGAGGAAGUGGCCACAUCAUUGAGCACAUUUGUUCAAACUCCUGCUAAAUUUCCUGGCAUGAGUAGUUGUGAUAUGAGUGGAAUGCAUAUAAGUUGCCUUAGCAAUCGGACAUCAGCGGAUUUUUCAUUCGUCUCGUCUAGGGAUGUUUCCAGGGAUGCUGAUUUUCUUAGUCUACGUAAAGAUGGUAUGACAAGUAUGCAUAAAUUGAGGAUUGACUCUGCAGAAAAUCAUGGCUUCUUCACUCAUGAUGGUGGAAG